AUGAAUAUGCAACACCCCUGCCAGCACAUUCACGUGACCCGCAGCAGCUGUAUAAAAACAGGUUACGCAACAUAUAAAUACGACCCCAAUUGUGCGAGUCGACACAUCAGCACUACCUACUGACAAGGCAUUCGAGACACAGAUCAACGUAUCGAGCUUGCAUUAUGUUUUACAACUACGUUCUCCUUACUGUCCUUCUUCUCCUCGUUGUCGACUGCUACGGCGACACUCCCUGUCUUAAGAUUGGAGGAACAUGCAUGCUCGUAGAGAUGUGUAAAGAUGGCGGCAUUGUGGCGGGUUUGUGUUUCGGACCCCGAAGCAGGAUGUGCUGCUUAGCUUCAACUCCCUGAGUCGACGGCUUCAGUGAAUGUGUGACAGGGAUCUGUCUCUUCCCUGCGUCACCUGUAAUCCUGACUGAUUAAACAGAUGGAUUAUU
Long non-coding RNA from Haliotis rubra (blacklip abalone), 436 nucleotides. RefSeq lists it as uncharacterized. The transcript has 2 exons. NCBI's taxonomy places the organism in Eukaryota, Metazoa, Mollusca, Gastropoda, Lepetellida, Haliotidae. The record is from RefSeq and is a predicted model, not a curated record.